UUGAAAAUCGAAAUGGGUAAGAAUGGAGACAAGUGUUUAGCCACAGAGAAUACAAUGCCACUACUCAGCUCAAAGAGCUUUUCUUUUUCCUUUUUAUUUUCCCACAAAAACAAAAUAGGCUCUCAUUAAGCUGACAAAAUUGACACUCAAAUCAGCCAUAUCGAUAGGAGAGAAGUACGGCCACAAUGGAGCUUCGUUUUGCUGAUAGAAUUUUUAAUGGAGACAACUAUUGACAUAGAUGAGAACCCCCAGCGAAGUUGAUAGUAUUGGUGAAUCUCACAUUGGUUCAAGCAAAGGGGGCCUUUAUCAUUUAUUGUUGUGUCCUUCCUUUAUAACUCGUAAUAUUGCUCCAUUCAUUAGUUUCAUGUGUACUUUGUUCAUCAUGUUACUUAUAAGUGUUCAUCAUAGAAAGUUAGUAAGAUCAUUUGUAGAAUAGAUUAAUCAAAUGAGAAUACAGAUAGAAUAUGGGUGCUCUUCAAUGCAUAAUAUUGAGAACUCCAAUUGGUGAUGACUUUUUUUCGAGUGCUGCUUGUGUUGUAUGAUUCUAGCUGAGACAGGUAAAUUUGGAUAGUUCUAGAAAUAGGGGAAACUCUGUCAAAUUUUUUUGUAAAAUUUGGAGCUCUUCUCCUGGCCUUGAAUUGGGUUGCUGACAUUUUCCUAGUUAGCAAAUUUAAAAUGCACAAAUAAAAUUGGGAUUUACAUAUUGGAUGUAAUGCUGCAAAGGUGAAGAGCAGAGUAUUUUACCUGAGUUUGUUGAAUAUCAAGUUCUUGUGAUAGAACAACAUGAUGAUGUUGUGAAGGCAGGGUGUUAGUAGUGUAUUCCAUCAUCAGCUAUAAAUCAUGAGAAUAUUUAUGUCAUUUUUUCAAGAAAAAUUGUGAGGCAAUAUGUAAUGAAAGAGGCAUUUUGUGAAAUGAUUUACCUGAAUGCAAUGCAGUAUGCCUGAAUGCUUUUGCUUGCCUAUUC
This is a long non-coding RNA of Solanum tuberosum (potato), 964 nucleotides long. RefSeq lists it as uncharacterized. The transcript has 2 exons. Lineage: Eukaryota; Viridiplantae; Streptophyta; Magnoliopsida; Solanales; Solanaceae. The record is from RefSeq and is a predicted model, not a curated record.